Nomascus leucogenys (northern white-cheeked gibbon) is the source of this 41-nucleotide regulatory RNA element. It matches the Rfam family "MAT2A 3'UTR stem loop D". The record is from Rfam. Lineage: Eukaryota; Metazoa; Chordata; Mammalia; Primates; Hylobatidae.
UCUGGGGUGUGACAUAAGUGCAGUGAAGCUAUCACCUCAGA